Molecule: ribosomal RNA, 499 nt
Filed under: uncultured bacterium
Lineage: Bacteria
Description: partial 16S ribosomal RNA
Rfam family: Bacterial small subunit ribosomal RNA
Source: RNAcentral
AUUGAACGCUGGCGGCAUGCCUUACACAUGCAAGUCGAGCGGCAGCGCGGGGGCAACCCUGGCGGCGAGCGGCGAACGGGUGAGUAAUGCAUCGGAACGUGUCCUCUUGUGGGGAUAACCAGUCGAAAGACUGGCUAAUACCGCAUGAGCUCGAGAGAGGAAAGCAGGGGACCGCAAGGCCUUGCGCGAGAGGAGCGGCCGAGGCCGGAUUAGCUAGUUGGUGGGGUAACGGCCAACCAAGGCGACGAUCCGUAGCUGGUCUGAGAGGACGACCAGCCACACGGGGACUGAGACACGGCGCAGACUCCUACGGGAGGCAGCAGUGGGGAAUUUUGGACAAUGGGGGCAACCCUGAUCCAGCCAUGCCGCGUGUGUGAAGAAGGCCUUCGGGUUGUAAAGCACUUUCGGCCGGAACGAAAUCGCGCGAGCUAACACCCCGCGUGGAUGACGGUACCGGAAGAAGAAGCACCGGCUAACUACGUGCCAGCCGCCGCAGUAA